Molecule: long non-coding RNA, 217 nt
Filed under: Elaeis guineensis (African oil palm)
Lineage: Eukaryota; Viridiplantae; Streptophyta; Magnoliopsida; Arecales; Arecaceae
Description: long non-coding RNA (EGUI_LNC054049)
Source: RNAcentral
UGCCUCUCUUUCACUUACACCCUAUGGAUUUAAUCCCUUCAGGUAGGUCAACUAAUGUCCAUACAUCGUUGACCUUCAUAGACUCUAUUUUAGAUUUUAUGGCUUCAAGCUAUUUAUCAGAGUCGAACCUCUGUAUAGCAUCCAUAUAGGUGAGUAGGUCCUUAUUAUUCUCAUCGAGUUCAACAGGAUCUCCGUCUCGAACCAAGAAACUGUAGUA